AAGAUGCAGGAUAGUGACGGUGACCAUCUCGGUGUUCAGGCGACCGACUUCCAGACUCCGAAGCCGGCGAGCUGCGCCCUGCAGAGCUAAAGCAGGAAACGCAUGACGUCAGAUGAGAGCAGGACCCUGCACUAGCCGGUGAGAACCUAAAACCUGGAGGGAUUUGCCAUGAAAAUGUUAUUAGCUCAGCAUCAGCUAAUAACCUUCUGCAAGUGGAUUACCCGCCAUCUUGCUCAGAAGACUGUGAUUUGCCAUCACAGCACCUAGACAUUAUGAGCUGUCACUUAUCUUUUCUGAAUCUGAGUGUUGAUCCGUGUGGAAGAGCCAUGGCCACACCCAGCCACUUGCACUGAUGAAACCACGUGUGUCCCUCAAAUGUGUCCAGGAAGAGGAAAAGCUGAGACUCACUGUG
Molecule: long non-coding RNA, 412 nt
Organism: Nannospalax galili (Upper Galilee mountains blind mole rat)
Lineage: Eukaryota; Metazoa; Chordata; Mammalia; Rodentia; Spalacidae
Exons: 3
Source: RefSeq, a predicted model, not a curated record